AGAGAGGGGAGGAACGUCAGGCCCCACUGCAAACUCUUCAGACAUGCCACCUUCAUCUCUUCCCAGCAUCCUUUUAGCCGUAAGAAGCGCCCCCCAAACUCCACCAUCCUCUUUGACAAUAAGCUCCAUCACGCCUUCAAUAAAUUAGAGCCCGUCUGAAGGAAGGAAACCCUUAGCCAAGGAAGGCAACAACCGAGGAAUCAGAACGGCUACAUCUGCUCUGUGAAGAAUUGGAAACAAGUUGUAUUUCAGAGAAGAGGACGACGAAAGUGGUUGUUAGUGUUCUGGCAUGGCUUUAAUGUUUUCUGCAGAGAGGUAACGAGCAGGAUCGCAAGGCACAAAGUAAAGAAAAUGGAAAUUAAACCCUGUGAGACUGUCACCCGCCUCUGCUCUCCAACCUCCAGACUUUCCUCCACGAUUUUCACUUUGCUACUUGAUAUUUGUGUUUUGCAUCUCCUCCCCUUUUAAAAUAAAUUCGCUAAAUUUAAAAGCAUUAUUUCCCCAGUUCCCUCCUCAAUCCUCUCAGAACAGCUUGAUUUCAUUUGUUAGCGGUGCAGAAAUUUCAAAAGAAAGAAGAGACU
RNAcentral lists this long non-coding RNA (581 nucleotides) under Equus asinus (donkey). RNAcentral describes it as "lncRNA (ENSEASG00005026700.1)". Lineage: Eukaryota; Metazoa; Chordata; Mammalia; Perissodactyla; Equidae. The record is from RNAcentral.